GGAAUUGUAGCUCAGUGAUAGAGCGUUUGUCUAACAUGCAUGAAGCCCUGGUUCAAUCCCGGCUACUACA
Molecule: transfer RNA, 70 nt
Filed under: Cavia porcellus (domestic guinea pig)
Lineage: Eukaryota; Metazoa; Chordata; Mammalia; Rodentia; Caviidae
Rfam family: tRNA
About the family: Transfer RNA (tRNA) molecules are approximately 80 nucleotides in length.
Source: Rfam by way of RNAcentral